GCGAAUGCUCUAGAUUAGAGUUUGAUCAUGGCUCAGAUUGAACGCUGGCGGCAGGCCUAACACAUGCAAGUCGAGCGGUAACACAGGGGAGCUUGCUCCUGGGUGACGAGCGGCGGACGGGUGAGUAAUGUCUGGGAAACUGCCUGAUGGAGGGGGAUAACUACUGGAAACGGUAGCUAAUACCGCAUAACGUCUUCGGACCAAAGUGGGGGACCUUCGGGCCUCAUGCCAUCAGAUGUGCCCAGAUGGGAUUAGCUAGUAGGUGGGGUAAUGGCUCACCUAGGCGACGAUCCCUAGCUGGUCUGAGAGGAUGACCAGCCACACUGGAACUGAGACACGGUCCAGACUCCUACGGGAGGCAGCAGUGGGGAAUAUUGCACAAUGGGCGCAAGCCUGAUGCAGCCAUGCCGCGUGUAUGAAGAAGGCCUUCGGGUUGUAAAGUACUUUCAGCGAGGAGGAAGGCGUUAAGGUUAA
Molecule: ribosomal RNA, 474 nt
Filed under: uncultured bacterium
Lineage: Bacteria
Description: bacterial SSU rRNA
Rfam family: Bacterial small subunit ribosomal RNA
Source: RNAcentral